RNAcentral lists this ribosomal RNA (492 nucleotides) under uncultured bacterium. RNAcentral's name for it is "partial 16S ribosomal RNA". It matches the Rfam family "Bacterial small subunit ribosomal RNA", at positions 29 to 507 of the family's 1533-position model. The record is from RNAcentral.
AGUGAACGCUGGCGGUAGGCCUAACACAUGCAAGUCGAACGGCAGCACAGUAAGAGCUUGCUCUUACGGGUGGCGAGUGGCGGACGGGUGAGGAAUACAUCGGAAUCUACUUUUUCGUGGGGGAUAACGUAGGGAAACUUACGCUAAUACCGCAUACGACCUACGGGUGAAAGCAGGGGAUCUUCGGACCUUGCGCGAUUGAAUGAGCCGAUGUCGGAUUAGCUAGUUGGCGGGGUAAAGGCCCACCAAGGCGACGAUCCGUAGCUGGUCUGAGAGGAUGAUCAGCCAAACUGGAACUGAGGCACGGGCCAGACUCCUACGGGAGGCAGCAGGGGGGAAUAUUGGACAAUGGGCGCAAGCCUGAUCCAGCCAUACCGCGUGGGUGAAGAAGGCCUUCGGGUUGUAAAGCCCUUUUGUUGGGAAAGAAAAGCAGCAGGUUAAUACCCCGCUGUUCUGACGGUACCCAAAGAAUAAGCACCGGCUAACUUCGUG